AUGAACGCUGGCGGCGUGCUUAACACAUGCAAGUCGAACGGACUUAUGUUGAAACCUAGUGAUAUAUAAGUUAGUGGCGGACGGGUGAGUAACGCGUGGAUAACCUGCCAUAUACAGGGGGAUAACACUUAGAAAUAGGUGCUAAUACCGCAUAAGCGCACAGCUUCGCAUGAAGCAGUGUGAAAAACUCCGGUGGUAUAUGAUGGAUCCGCGUCUGAUUAGCUUGUUGGUGGGGCAACGGCCUACCAAGGCGACGAUCAGUAGCCGGUCUGAGAGGAUGAACGGCCACAUUGGAACUGAGACACGGUCCAGACUCCUACGGGAGGCAGCAGUGGGGAAUCUUCCGCAAUGGGCGAAAGCCUGACGGAGCAACGCCGCGUGAGUGAAGAAGGUCUUCGGAUCGUAAAGCUCUGUUGUCGGGGACGAAUGUAGUUACCAUCAACAACCGUAACUAAUGACGGUACCUGACGAGGAAGCCACGGCUAACUACGUG
This 493-nucleotide ribosomal RNA is filed under the name uncultured bacterium. Its description in RNAcentral is "bacterial SSU rRNA". It matches the Rfam family "Bacterial small subunit ribosomal RNA", at positions 29 to 507 of the family's 1533-position model. The record is from RNAcentral.